RNAcentral lists this ribosomal RNA (466 nucleotides) under uncultured Glomus. RNAcentral describes it as "SSU rRNA". It matches the Rfam family "Eukaryotic small subunit ribosomal RNA", at positions 624 to 1085 of the family's 1831-position model. The record is from RNAcentral. Lineage: Eukaryota; Fungi; Glomeromycota; Glomeromycetes; Glomerales; Glomeraceae.
AAGCUCGUAGUUGAAUUUCGGGAUUGACACAUCGGUCGUGCCUUAAGGGGUAUGAACUGGUGUAGUCAAUUUCUCACCUUCUGGAGAACCGCGAUGCCCUUAAUUGGGUGUCGCGGGGAACCAGGACCUUUACUUUGAAAAAAUUAGAGUGUUUAAAGCAGGCAUUUUGCUUGAAUACAUUAGCAUGGAAUAAUAAAAUAGGACGGCAUGAUUCUAUUUUGUUGGUUUCUAGGAUCACCGUAAUGAUUAAUAGGGAUAGUUGGGGGCAUUAGUAUUCAAUUGUCAGAGGUGAAAUUCUUGGAUUUAUUGAAGACUAACUACUGCGAAAGCAUUUGCCAAGGAUGUUUUCAUUAAUCAAGAACGAAAGUUAGGGGAUCGAAGACGAUCAGAUACCGUCGUAGUCUUAACCAUAAACUAUGCCGACUAGGAAUCAGACGAUGUUAAUUUUUUAAUGACUCGUUCGGCA